AUUUGAGAACGUGCGUGUGAUUUUGCGUGGGCAACACGCAACGUUUGGCGGGAAGUGUGUCAAAUUUCUUUAUAUUGUAUGGUAUCAAGUGAAGACGUUUCUAUUUCUUGGAAUUUUGAAUUGAGGAUAGAACAUUUGCUCAUCAACACAGUCAUAGAGACACAGUGUUAUAUGGAAGGAGAUGCUUGAAAGCCAGAGAUUGGUAUAUUUUGACGACUCGUAAGUAUUUACAAAACCUGAACAAAAGUGCUUUUGUUAAAACUCACAAAUGUUGUUUGUUCGUUGGGUGCGAGGUUGGGUGCCAAUGUAGGUAGCAAACAUUCUAAAAAAAUUACAAACUGCAAACUUUAGUGCUCUUCGUCUGGAAGUUGGUAGCUAUAGUAGGCACUAAUUUACUAGACAAAGGCCAGAACUUGAAGCAUAUCGAAGUUUUCUUAUAUUUUGCUGGUGUUUCAUAUUUGCAUUGAAUAGCUAGUGCUCAAUGCUCAUACAUACAGUCAAUUAAGUUUGCAAUAUGUUACUAUAAGACAGGCAGCAUUAUCACUGAGAUAUUCAGUUCGAAACUGAUGUAAUGUUGGUCCUAAGAUGUAUUUACAAGCUUAACCAAAUUACCAUCGAUCUGCACCCAGCUUUAUUAUUUUACAUUUUAUACUUUGUCUAUGACACCAGACUACAGUAUAUAACUUGUCAAGUUGAGAGUGCUGGUGCCACUGAUGCUCACUGGGUUAAUUCAGACUAUCUGUCCAUGUGUUUAAAGACAACCUGUUAAGUUAAUUGCAUUGUGCCAUAAUUCUCCCUACUUAAUUAUUAUUUUAUUCUGUCUAAUGCAGAUGAUUUCUUGUCAAGGGGAGAGCACAUGCAGGUACUGAACAGGUUAUAACUAAUGAGCUAGGGUAUUUAACCAGGACAAUGUUGUGGUCAUGCAGUAAGUACUGUUUAUAACUGGACUGUGUGCCAAACUUCCUGUGUUUACGCGAGGCUUUUGAGGUGGGCUGGUUCGCCAAAACAAACCACUGGUCUCCCCGCUAUAAAUAGUAUACCGGUACAGUAAUAUAAAUUUAUAUAUUUUCUCAUGAACUUGAGAUUUGCACUUUUGGGCCAGAGUAACUUUCACAGUAAUAAUUAAUCCAUAGACUUGUUCACAACCAAGCCAUUUAAGAUCGAAAUCUAUGAAUAAUAUCUUAUAAUUACAAUAAUAUAUUCGCACAUGCAGAGCAAUAACAUGCAGAGCUUGCAUGGCCAAUUAGCCAGCCUGGGUCAUUGCGUUUAUAUGGGAAAUUCCCAGUCCAGUAAAAAUUACUUGGGCACAGAAUUGGCCCAUGCAGCUAAGUGAGAUCCUGCCUCAACUGUAACAGCUAGACUGUGCAAUGUCCAGCAUUCAUGAAGUACUGCCAUGUAUAGUGGAUUUUUUCCGCUGACCUCAAUAAAAAUUCAUGAAGGAAUGGGAUUAGUGCUAACAUCGACAAGAAGCUGAACUUAAGUGAAUUCCAUGUACACACAUUCAUUAUCAUUGUCUAAAUCAGCAGAACUUGUGUGGGAAUAUCAUCCUCAAGCAGGGCCAUAGCUAGACCGCUAAUUGGGGGGGGGGGGGGGGGUAAAUAUGCAUGUGUUCUGCUCAAUGGAUUUCUUUUGAAAGCAAUUGUUUUUACGGUAUGUGAACAGUGUCAAACAUGAAUAUAUGAAUAUAUACCCCCCCCCCCCCAAUUAUCGCAUCUAGCUAUGAUCCUGUCCUCAAGACCCGCGAAUGUUACCCAGCCUAUUUUACAAGCCGCUUAACUGGUAAUCUGCCGCUGGUUGCAAUGUUUGUCAUAUUAAUUUAUUGAGUCAUUAAGACUUAAGUGACUUGGACUUGAGUAAAUUACUUGGCACUCUAGUUGCUAUUUUCAAGGACUUGAUUGCUUCCAAUAUGGAAAAUGACUCGACUGCCCUGAUUCAACUCAAGUCAACACAGAAAAUGACUUGACUGACACAGCUUAUAAAUAAUCAUUAAAUAGUUAGGAUGGUUUGCAUCUGAAUGAGGCAUGACAGAGCAUUAAAAUUUCUUCUCGAUUCUGAUAAGUUGAUUUCUUACUCCACAUGAUUAUUAUUACAUGAUUGGCUGUAACUGAUAUUGGGUCAUUCCAGGAAACAUCCAUAACUCCCCCACACAGGAAAUUGGAAGUUAGUUAUCAACCCCCUACCUCUGUCAACAACAACAACAACAACAACAACAACAACAACAACAACAACAACAACAGCAAUAACAACAACAACAACAACAACAACAACAACAACAACAAACAAUUUAUUUUCACUCAUAAAAAACAUAAUUAUACAGAAAGUUAUUCUUAUUAUUAUCAGCUGAGAGUGAAGACCACCUGUAAUAACCAUAUGGGCUACUCAAGACAGGUGACCUCUAUAAUGAAAAGUAGUAAUUUUAUAGAGUUGGAAAAGUUAGAUACGGACAUGGGUUAUCAAUAAAUAUAAAUAGCAGGCACAGAACACACAUACACACGAUUUUUCUAAACCAAAGUAAAUGAAUAUGAGUGAGUAAAAGGCUCAUGCAAAAGCCUUGAAAAAAGUAACAGGUAGGUCUCAAAAAAAAAAUAUCAAACUUUGAGUCAAACAAUUUUAGUAGCUAAAAAUCAUCAAUGCUGUUCCAAAUCUUGAUUCCAAUGAAUCUAAUAAUUGAAAAUUCCAUAAUUUGUAAGGACUAGAGGAAGAGAGUAUGUUGUCCUAGAAACUAACCGAGUAUUGUGGCUAUGUUGCUAAAAAAAUGAUUAAAACUAUUUGCAAGCUUUUUAUUAUAGAAAUUAUGCAACCAUUGAAUAUAUGCAACCAUUGUCUAGCAUGGUUCCAUAUGAAUUGUUCUGGCCUGAAUUUUAAAUCAGCGAAGACAGCCGUUAAAAUGGACUGGUUUUGUGCACCGUGUCUCUCCUCUAUUUUUCCAUUCAACCACUUUGAUAAUGACGAAGAAUUCUUGUUGGCUCUCCGCGAAUCGAAUAGUGAAUUUACAUUUAAUAUUGAUCCCUUUAAAGACUUAAUAUUUAAUCCAAUCUCCGAAACUUUAACAAAUAUCAAUAACUUGGACUCUGAUGAGCACUUCUUUAACUCGUGUAUUUCAAACAACAAUAAUUACCUUCUUGAGGAUACCUUUGUUUCUGAACACUCUAAUAAAUUCGAUCAAUUCUCACUUAUUCAUUUCAAUGCUCGUAGCCUUCCGCAUAAUUUUGAUAAAUUUACAAAUUACCUUAAUCUGUUACAGUUUCCUUUUUCGAUAAUUGGUGUCUCUGAGACUUGGCUGACAUCUACUAACAUAGCUCAGUGUGAGCUUGAUAAUUAUAAAUUAAUAACAUCUAACCGUAUUAACAGACAGGGCGGAGGCGUUGCUCUUUAUAUUAGGGACAACAUUGAUUUCGUUGAAUUAACUGAUCUUGGUAUUAAUGACGAUAACAUAUGCCUAGCCCGCGUGCAGGCCCAAGGAAACUGAUAGUGGGCCUGCAAGCAAGGCCCGGUAUUUGUAAAACGCCCCUUUUCAUAACACGCCCCAUUCGCGCGUCAAUUGUCAAAAAAGAACCAAUGACAGCAACCCAAAUAUUAACAAACAAAUUCGCAUUAAAAUGUUGCGGGGUUUUCUCUGCUUUAAUAUUCAAAAUAGAAACAAUGUGUAAAUGCCUGUGUUAAAACUCCAAAAAAACAAGCAACGCAGUCAGUAAUUGCCAAAUUUACAAGUGCUCAUUUUCAACUAAAAUCGGAACAGGCAAAUUAAGACGAAUUUCAACAGAAAACCAGUCUCAAACUUCAAAUCGUGAGGGAAGUCGUGCGACCACAUCAGCAUUUAUAAUGUUGCUUCGCUGUCGCCAUUGUUAUAAAUAAAUUGUCUCACUUAUCAGAUCGUGUGUGCAAUUCUUGUUGGCGGCGGAAAGUACGAAAUUUAUUUCAGUUAUUUCAUUUGGUGAGAACUCUACAAAAGAAGAGAGCGUUCAGAGUCCAGAUCGUUUCGUUUCAAACGGCAAUUUAAUACCGUCUUCUCUUUUGCUCUCUCAGCGAAGCCUUGUAAAUCGCAAAGUAUUUUGAAUAGGCUUACAUGCAACUGCAUCUCAACAUCAACCAAAAGAUAAUUUUCUUGAGGAACAUAUAACGUAUCAAGUCUGUUUGAAAUUAAUGAAACUCAAGUAAAGGUUACUAUAGUUUUAUACCCCAUUCGUAAUAAAUGUUGCUAUUCCAACACCUCACGACAAGCAAUCCUCAUUGGCAUAACGGCAAAAACAUCUCUUCCUUCAAGUAAACAAUAAACAGUCUGUUCUUGUUCCAUUUGUAAUCGAAAAAAGUGAUCAAUUUUCGAAUUUUAAGCUUAUCGAGAGCCUUUGUCUAUGCCUUUGUGAUGAAUCACUGACCUAAUUAUAGAAUCCAACAGCAAACAGCCAAUCAGAAUGCCGCGUUCGUGGGCGAACGCGGAAAGUACAAAAUACCGGGCCUUGCUUGCAGGCCCACUAUCAAGUUCCCUUCAGCCUGCUCCCUUGGGCCUGCACGCGGGCUAACAUAUGCCAGUCAUUAUUUAUCGAAUUUUUAAUAAACAACCAUAAGGUUGUAACUGGUAUAAUCUAUAGGCCUCCUAAUGCAGACGUAAGUUUGUUUAACGAUUAUCUUGACAAAACCCUUAAUUACCUUAAUAAGUCGAAUAAAUUAAAUUAUCUUAUUGGUGAUUUUAACAUUAAUCUUUUAAAUAUUGAAGAAAACUCGAUAACCAGCGAUUUUUUCGAAAUUAUGACUUCGUAUUCUUAUUGUCCAACUACUAACAGUAUCUUUCGGCCCACCAGGAUUACCAGUUAUACAGCAACACUUGUAGACAACUGCUUUACAAACAAUUAUGAACAUUCUGCCGAUUCUGGCAUUUUAAUUACUGAUAUUUCUGACCACUUACCUAUAUUUCAUUUUUCAGACCUAAAAGUAAGUUAACUUGGUUUCCCUCAAUUGGCAAGCAGUUUAUGAAUCCACUGAUUCGAAUAUUGCCUAUAAUAUUUUUCUUAAUAUGUUUAAUGACCUUUACGACAAAUCUUUUCCACUCAAAAAAAGAAAAAUAAGGAAAACGCGGGCUCGUAAACAUUGGAUAUCAAAAGGAUUGAUUAAAUCAAUUACAGUUAAAAACAAAUUGUACAAAAAGUUCUUAAAAGAAAGGAAUUCACCAACGGAACAAAAAUUUAAAUCAUAUAGGAACAAAUUGAAUCAUCUUCUUAAAAUCGCAAAAAAGCGUUACUUUGCAAUGAAACUUGAAUCUGCUAAAUCUGAUCUGAAGCAUACUUGGAGAAUCCUUAAUGACCUUAUUCGAAAACCAAAAUCUAAAACUAUUUACCCUGAAUCAUUUCAUUUCAAUGAUACUGAGACUGCUGACCCUCAGAUAAUCUCCAACACUUUCAACAAAUACUUCGCCAACAUUGGCGCUAAUCUAGCAAAAGUAAUUCCUAAUACUUCUGUUAAUUUUACUCACUACCUUAUAGGAUCUUACAUGCACUCGUUUGUACUGUAUGAAACUAAUGAAGAUGAAAUAACUAAACUUAUCUCAGAACUUAACCCUAAUAAAUCCUGUGGGAUUGAUUUGAUUGACCCAUUUAUUGUUAAACAACUUGCUGGACCAUUAGCUCCUACUUUGUCAAAUAUUUUCAAUAAACUACUUUGUCAAAUAUUUUCAAUAAAUCCAUGAAUACUGGCAGAGUGCCUGACAAAUUAAAAGAGGCUAUGAUAACUCCUGUUUACAAAUCUGAUGACCGUAAAUCUUUUGGUAACUAUAGACCAAUUUCCAUUCUUCCAAUAUUUUCAAAAAUAUUGGAAAGAAUUAUUUACAACAGAUUAUUAACAUAUUUGGAUAAAAUGCAUAUCCUGUCCAGCAAUCAGUAUGGUUUCAGAAUGAAUUACUCAACUUAUAUGGCUUUAAUUGAAUUAAUCGACAGUCUCUCUCAUUCGAUUGAUAACAAUGAAUAUACUGUAGGCAUAUUUGUUGAUUUAUCAAAAGCGUUUGAUACUGUGAACCACAAAAUUCUUAUAAGUAAACUAAACCAUUACGGUAUCAGAGGUACUCCACUCAUGUGGUUUAAAGAUUAUUUAAGUGAUAGGAAACAAACUGUGAAAUUUAGUGAGACGGUCUCCUCAAAAAUGAUUGUAACGUGUGGUGUUCCCCAAGGUUCUAUCCUUGGACCACUUUUAUUUCUUCUUUACAUUAGCGAUAUUGCCAAUUGCUCUAAUCUUCUCAAUUUUAUUCUGUUUGCUGAUGAUACUAGUAUAUAUCAUUCCGACAGAGAUCCUGCCACACUCAUCCGUAAAGUUAAUUGUGAACUUGAUAAACUGUCGGACUGGUUUAAAGCAAAUAAACUUUCACUUAAUUUAAAGAAAACGAAUUAUAUAAUUUUUCGCGCAAGAAAUAAACCCAUUCCAAGUCGAGAUAAUUUAAAUGUGUUUAUUGACUCUAUAAAAAUUAAAAGGUUAGCUACCACUAAAUUUCUUGGAACUUAUAUAAACGAACAUUUAGACUGGAAACCACAUAUUUCACACGUUGCCCUAAAGAUGGCAAAAUCUAUUGGCAUCAUAAACAAAGCAAAGCAUUUUAUUACUAGCCCCACCAGAAGAACUUUAUAUUGCUCCUUGGUGUUACCGUAUAUUCAAUACUGUAAUAUAGUUUGGGCUAAAAUAUAUCCUACUAAUCUUGAUAAAAUCAUGAAAUUGCAAAAACGUGUAGUGCGUAUUAUUGCUAAUGCUGGAUAUCGAGAUCCUACUGAACCACUUUUUUCAAAAUUCAAGUUACUUGAUGUUUAUGCCAUUAAUAAAUUUCAGACUGGUUCUUUUAUGUAUAGAUGCUUUGACAAGUCCUCAAUUUUCCCGCAACAUUUUAGGAGUUACUUCAUCCUUAACAAGGACAUUCACUCUUACGAGACGCGGAAUGCCAACAGAGUUAAUAUCAACCAAGUCAGAACAACAACAAGAAAACAAACUCUUAAACACAGUGGAUCAUUGUUUUGGAACUCGCUAGAUAAAUAUGUAACCGAAGCUGCUACGUUAUUUAUUUUUCAGGCUAGACUAAGGUCCCAUAUUCAUAAAUAUUGAGUAUAAUAUAGUUUAUGAUUUAUUUCUAUAUACCCAUAUUUCUUUUUUCACUCAAUCAUUUGAAUACAUAGAUUCUUAAAAAUCUCCUUCCCAGUUCCGUUGGUUGAUCAGUGCUUGUUCAAGUUCUCUUGAGCUUUCUCACUGCUCAACCUUCUGCACAACAAUAUUUUUUUUAUAUAAAACUCAACAAAUAAUGGAUUGUAAAAUGGGACCAAUAUUAUUAUAGUAUAUGAGUAUAUAUAAGGGAAUCUUGCAAUGUAAUGUUGUGUGGUAAAUAAAUUGAUUGAUUGAUUGAUUGAAUUAUGUAAAAACAAAGCCGUAUUAAAAUACACAAUGUCAAGAAAUUUUAAUAAGUUGAAACUCUUAAAAAGUGGAGAGAAACUCUUAAAAAAUGCCCUUACUAUUAUCAGAAAGAAAUGUUUCUCCCCUCGGCCUCUGGACAGAAGAAAUUUCCUCUUUGGGGAAGCCAGGAAACAUCCACACCUCCCCCAUUGGCGGAAGUUGAAAGUUGACCCAUGCACUACCCCUGUGAUCAUCCUAGUACUUUUUAUUAUUAUCAGAAGUACAUACCCAGGGCUCCCACUCUGGAGAAGAGAAAUUUCCUUUGUGUGGACUGUGGUGUUUUAAAGAAUCAUUACCAGCUGAUCACUAGGGAUUCGCUGCAUUGAGCCCAAAAUUGCGAAUCAAAAUUACUUUUCUGAGGGCGACAAUUAUGUGCCGAUGACAUUCUCCUACAGUAGGCCUAGGGCUUGAUUUGACUAUAUAUCACUAAUUCUGGUGGUUUCGAACAAAAUUUAUUAAUUUAUUUACUAGAAUUUUGAACCCUUAAAAAGUGUGAACCGCCACCGUGAAAAUCUCCCCCCCCCCUUGCCCUCUUUCCGGCAUCCCUGGGAACAACCAAUUGAGUAGAACUAUAAUAUUUCCACAUUAGUACAGCCUCGCCAUGGCACACAAGUCGCAUGCAGACUGUCAAUGUAUUUCACACUAGAGGUGUGCAAAUCCGAUCGGAUUCGUUCGGAUUUCGGAACAAAAAUAUUCAUUUCGGAUUGAUAAAGUUGUUUCGUAGUCGGAUCAGAUCGGACUUCGAUAUUCCAAAUAAAAUGAAUAAAUUAUCCACCGUAACGCGGUUCUCGCUGCAUUAUUCGUUUCAUUGAUACUUCAAUUGGACGUCACUUUGGCAGCUUCUUGACAUGUAUUUCUUGCUUUUAUAUUUAUUUGGUUAAAUAUUUCCACUUGAAUGAAAAAUUUAUUUUAUUAAAGGAUUCUUCGGAUCGGAAUUCUUUAUUAAAAUUCGGAUCGAAUUCGGGAUUAGACAAUUUCGGAUCGGAUUGGAUUUUGAACAUUAGCCAAUUGUCGGAUUAUAAACAUCCAAUCCAAUCCGGUGCAUGCACACCUGUAUUUCACACUGCAAGUAUUUUUGUUAUUCAAUUAAAUACAUAAAGUUAUUAAGGUCAAUUUUAUUAAUCACUCAAUUCACAGAUUGCAAACUGGGAUAGCAGUCCAUUACAGAAUAUGUGGGUAAUGAAAUAGAUUUAUUGAACAUCGUUGCGAUUUAUCGUAUACUGUACGAUUCGUAUUCUGACGUAUGAAAUUGCUGUUGAUGCCACAGUUCCUGCCCAUUUAGUUUAUGGAGAAAUUUGAAAUGCAACCACUUUACGCGUGCUUAUAAUUCGAUUACAUACGAUAGAACACGAGUCGUACACGAUAGAUCUCAACGUGUAAUGUACCUUUACUCAACUACUCUUAAGUUGAGCUAGUGACUAGAGUGAAGACAUUUAUGCAUGUAUUCAACUUGUUACUCAAUGUUUGUUAGACUGAGCUGGACAUAUGACUCGACCUUGGGAUGACUUGUUACAACAUUAGGCUAACGCCUACUUAUUUUUUAUAGAUAUAGAAUGUAGCAGAAUGGCGUAUGCAAAAGAAAGUGGGUUUCAUUUUCGAGAGAUAAAAGGAAAUUUAUUCAGCUGUGAAAAAGACACAUCUCUGGCUCACUGUAUCAGCGCUGAUGUACAUAUGGGGAAAGGAAUUGCAACAACCUUUAAAAAGAUGUUUGGAGGAGUCGAUGAACUUCGCAGGCAAGGUACAG
Molecule: long non-coding RNA, 9160 nt
Filed under: Paramuricea clavata
Lineage: Eukaryota; Metazoa; Cnidaria; Anthozoa; Malacalcyonacea; Plexauridae
Source: RNAcentral